Molecule: ribosomal RNA, 1016 nt
Filed under: uncultured bacterium
Lineage: Bacteria
Description: bacterial SSU rRNA
Rfam family: Bacterial small subunit ribosomal RNA
Source: RNAcentral
AGGAAUAUUGGUCAAUGGGCGAGAGCCUGAACCAGCCAAGUAGCGUGAAGGAUGACUGCCCUAUGGGUUGUAAACUUCUUUUAUAAAGGAAUAAAGUCGGGUAUGGAUACCCGUUUGCAUGUACUUUAUGAAUAAGGAUCGGCUAACUCCGUGCCAGCAGCCGCGGUAAUACGGAGGAUCCGAACGUUAUCCGGAUUUAUUGGGUUUAAAGGGAGCGUAGAUGGAUGUUUAAGUCAGUUGUGAAAGUUUGCGGCUCAACCGUAAAAUUGCAGUUGAUACUGGAUAUCUUGAGUGCAGUUGAGGCAGGCGGAAUUCGUGGUGUAGCGGUGAAAUGCUUAGAUAUCACGAAGAACUCCGAUUGCGAAGGCAGCCUGCUAAGCUGCAACUGACAUUGAGGCUCGAAAGUGUGGGUAUCAAACAGGAUUAGAUACCCUGGUAGUCCACACGGUAAACGAUGAAUACUCGCUGUUUGCGAUAUACUGCAAGCGGCCAAGCGAAAGCGUUAAGUAUUCCACCUGGGGAGUACGCCGGCAACGGUGAAACUCAAAGGAAUUGACGGGGGCCCGCACAAGCGGAGGAACAUGUGGUUUAAUUCGAUGAUACGCGAGGAACCUUACCCGGGCUUGAAUUGCAACUGAAUGAUGUGGAGACAUGUCAGCCGCAAGGCAGUUGUGAAGGUGCUGCAUGGUUGUCGUCAGCUCGUGCCGUGAGGUGUCGGCUUAAGUGCCAUAACGAGCGCAACCCUUAUCGAUAGUUACCAUCAGGUUAUGCUGGGGACUCUGUCGAGACUGCCGUCGUAAGAUGUGAGGAAGGUGGGGAUGACGUCAAAUCAGCACGGCCCUUACGUCCGGGGCUACACACGUGUUACAAUGGGGGGUACAGAAGGCAGCUACACGGCGACGUGAUGCUAAUCCCGAAAGCCUCUCUCAGUUCGGAUUGGAGUCUGCAACCCGACUCCAUGAAGCUGGAUUCGCUAGUAAUCGCGCAUCAGCCACGGCGCGGUGAAUACGUUCCCG